GACGAACGCUGGCGGCGUGCUUAACACAUGCAAGUCGAACGGCAAGGCCCUGCUUUUGUUGGGUGCUCGAGUGGCGAACGGGUGUGUAACACGUGAGUAACCUGCCCUUGACUGUGGGACAACUUCAGGGAACUGGGGAUAAUACCGGAUACGAGCUCCUGCUGCAGGGGGGGGGUUGGAAAGUUUCGGCGGGUGGGGAUGGACUCGCGGCUUAUCAGCUUGUUGGUGGGGAAGGGGCUUACCAAGGCUUUGGCGGGUAGCCGGCCUGAGAGGGUGGCCGGCCACAUUGGGCCUGAGGUACGGCCCAGACUCCUACGGGGGGCAGCGGUGGGGACUAUUGCACAAUGGGCGGAAGCCUGAUGCAGCAACGCCGCGGGCGGGAUGACGGCCUUCGGGUUGUAAACCGCUUUCGCCUGUGACGAAGCGUGAGUGACGGUAAUGGGUAAAGAAGCACCGGCUAACUACGUG
RNAcentral lists this ribosomal RNA (468 nucleotides) under uncultured bacterium. RNAcentral's name for it is "partial 16S ribosomal RNA". It matches the Rfam family "Bacterial small subunit ribosomal RNA", at positions 28 to 507 of the family's 1533-position model. The record is from RNAcentral.